GAUGAACGCUGGCGGCGUGCUUAACACAUGCAAGUCGAACGGAAAGGCUCCUGCUUGCAGGGGUACUCGAGUGGCGAACGGGUGAGUAACACGUGGGUGAUCUGCCCAGCACUUCGGGAUAAGCCUGGGAAACUGGGUCUAAUACCGGAUAGGACGAUGGUUUGGAUGCCAUUGUGGAAAGUUUUUUCGGUGUGGGAUGAGCUCGCGGCCUAUCAGCUUGUUGGUGGGGUAAUGGCCUACCAAGGCGUCGACGGGUAGCCGGCCUGAGAGGGUGUACGGCCACAUUGGGACUGAGAUGCGGCCCAGACUCCUACGGGAGGCAGCAGUGGGGAAUAUUGCACAAUGGGCGCAAGCCUGAUGCAGCGACGCCGCGUGGGGGAUGACGGCCUUCGGGUUGUAAACUCCUUUCGCUAGGGACGAAGCGCAAGUGACGGUACCUGGAGAAGAAGCACCGGCUAACUACGUG
This 466-nucleotide ribosomal RNA is filed under the name uncultured bacterium. RNAcentral describes it as "partial 16S ribosomal RNA". It matches the Rfam family "Bacterial small subunit ribosomal RNA", at positions 28 to 507 of the family's 1533-position model. The record is from RNAcentral.